Molecule: small RNA, 454 nt
Filed under: Histoplasma capsulatum var. duboisii H88
Lineage: Eukaryota; Fungi; Ascomycota; Eurotiomycetes; Onygenales; Ajellomycetaceae
Description: Histoplasma capsulatum H88 hypothetical RNA
Source: RNAcentral
CAAAUUCACCGGGGCAAACCCGCCAUGUAACAGAAACAUACAGUUAUCCUCUGUCUCUUCUUUAACCUUCUCCUUCCUUGGGAACAGAAGCAGCAGCAGAGACCUAAUCUGAACAGCAACGAUUGGUUCGGAAGAGAAUAUGGGUGUUUCUGUGACAGUUCCCAGAGUUGGGGGCCAUUGCAGACAGCUGAAUCUCAUGAUGUUGGGGAAGUGCCAACCUCCAUAACCCUGGACAAACCAACCGGCCUACCCAUCACCCUUUGAUAUCUCAACAUCAUCUUUGGAAAAUGGCUUCCCCAUUUACUCCUACUUGUCAGAAAAGUUACUACGGACGGGCAUCCUUCUGAGCUGUUUCUCUGCGUGUCUGCUGCGUAGCACGUUUCAAAUGUCCAGUUGGGGGUUCUAUCUACUGCCAAUCGCCUAUGCAGGGCGUCCAAAUUGGCGGUGUAGCCGC